Molecule: small nuclear RNA, 152 nt
Organism: Heterocephalus glaber (naked mole-rat)
Lineage: Eukaryota; Metazoa; Chordata; Mammalia; Rodentia; Bathyergidae
Gene: U4
Rfam family: U4 spliceosomal RNA
About the family: U4 small nuclear RNA (U4 snRNA) is a component of the major U2-dependent spliceosome. The structure of U4 snRNA from yeast and human has been reported.
Source: Ensembl
AGCUUUGCACAGUAGCAGUAUCGUAGCAAAUGAGAUUUAUCCGAGGCACAAUUAUUGCUAGUUGAAAACUAUGUGUAGCCCUCACCCUCUCCCACUCUGUCUCCCUUGGCUCUCACCUGGUCACUGUGGUAGGGUAACACUUCAGUCCUGGA